This 426-nucleotide ribosomal RNA is filed under the name uncultured bacterium. RNAcentral's name for it is "bacterial SSU rRNA". It matches the Rfam family "Bacterial small subunit ribosomal RNA", at positions 356 to 773 of the family's 1533-position model. The record is from RNAcentral.
GGGGAAUAUUGGACAAUGGGCGCAAGCCUGAUCCAGCCAUGCCGCGUGUGUGAAGAAGGCCUUUUGGUUGUAAAGCACUUUAAGCGAGGAGGAGGCUACUUGGAUUAAUACUCUAGGAUAGUGGACGUUACUCGCAGAAUAAGCACCGGCUAACUCUGUGCCAGCAGCCGCGGUAAUACAGAGGGUGCGAGCGUUAAUCGGAUUUACUGGGCGUAAAGCGUGCGUAGGCGGCUUUUUAAGUCGGAUGUGAAAUCCCUGAGCUUAACUUAGGAAUUGCAUUCGAUACUGGGAAGCUAGAGUAUGGGAGAGGAUGGUAGAAUUCCAGGUGUAGCGGUGAAAUGCGUAGAGAUCUGGAGGAAUACCGAUGGCGAAGGCAGCCAUCUGGCCUAAUACUGACGCUGAGGUACGAAAGCAUGGGGAGCAAAC